RNAcentral lists this ribosomal RNA (849 nucleotides) under Triticum aestivum (bread wheat). RNAcentral describes it as "partial small subunit ribosomal RNA". Lineage: Eukaryota; Viridiplantae; Streptophyta; Magnoliopsida; Poales; Poaceae. The record is from RNAcentral.
AUGCAGCUGGUCUCGGGUGGCCACAUUGCGGUGUCGGUUAAUGGGAGGUCUAGCAACUUUUUCCAGAAUUUCAGAGGCCUCAGGCAGGGCGAUCCAGCUUCUCCUAUCUUGUUCAAUUUCGUCGCGGAUGCGCUUUCCAAUAUCUUGUCUAGAGCCGCGGCGGCUGGACACAUCUCCCCGGUCAGCUCCUACCUCAUUCCUGAGGGUGUCUCCCGCCUCAAGUAUGCGGACGAUACAAUUAUUAUGGUGGAGCUUAAUGACCCCUGUUUAUCCCAUCUUAAGUUUCUGCGGCUUUGCUUUGAGGCCUUGUCUGGGCUUAAGAUUAAUUUUUCAAAAAGUGAGGUGAUCAUCACUGGGGUGACGGAGGCUGAGGCAUUGCGAGUCUCUCAAUUACUCAACUGCUUGCUGGGUUCCUUCCCUCUCAGGUAUCUUGGGCUUCCUAUCUCUUCUGACAAACUCUUGGCUAAGGAUUAUGCACCUACGGUGGCUAAAGUAGGCAACCUUGUUAUGCCUUGGAGGGGCAGAUAUAAUACUCAGGCUGGCAAGGUUGCUCUUAUCAAUGCUUGUCUUUCCUCCCUUCCUAUGUUUUUGAUGGGGUUUUAUCUUCUCAGUAACGGCACUCAUGCUGGGUUUGACAAGCACAGGGGUGCUUUCUAUUGGAAUGCUGCUCAUAAUAAAUGCAAGUAUAAAUUGGUUAAAUGGGAUCACAUUUGCCGGCCCAAGAGCCUUGGGGGGCUGGGUAUAAUUAACACCUUGGUUAUGAACAAGUGCUUGAUCAUUAAGUGGUGGUGGAAGAUCAUGACCAUCUCGGAAAACCCUCUUUGGUAUAAUAUUCUCAAGGCAAAAUAA